Molecule: small RNA, 596 nt
Filed under: Arabidopsis thaliana (thale cress)
Lineage: Eukaryota; Viridiplantae; Streptophyta; Magnoliopsida; Brassicales; Brassicaceae
Description: ATSL040880
Source: RNAcentral
AUAAUCAUUCAAUUAAUGAGCCAUUUAUGGCAUUUCGAAGAGGCAUAGCUUACCAUUCGAUUAAGGAGGAGGUAUAACCUCAUACUCCGAAAAUAUAAAGCAUAUAAUUUUUUAUAAAUGAAUUAAGAUGAAUUUAAGAUAAUUUAAAUGUUACCUCAAAAGAUGCUUGAUCAAAUAGACGAUCAGUUGGUUAGAUAACUCCCGGAGAGACGAUCGUGCUGAUAACGUGUUAUAAAAGAUCAAAGUAAGAAAGAAGAAUGAAUACUAGAGAGAAUAAAACUCGAAACAAGAGUUUUCUUAUUGCUUUCUCUUUCUCUUUUCUUUCUCUCUGUUUUCUCUGUAACUUACAAAUGAAUGAAAUGAGCUAUAUAUAGUAGAGCUUACUUAGCUAGGAAGUAAAUUACUUAGAGAAGAAGUAAUAGAUAAACAUCAUCCAUAUCUUAGGGAUGAAGUAAUGGAUAAACAUAAUCCAUAUCUUAGGGAGGAAGUAAUGGAUAAACAUAAUCCAUAUCUUAUAGACAGAGAUGAGAGAUGGAUAAUCACAUCCAUACUUAUCCGGUUUAUAACACGGAUAUAAAUAAGUAGGAAAAACUAUA